GAUGAACGCUGGCGGCGUGCCUAAUACAUGCAAGUCGAGCGAACAGACGAGGAGCUUGCUCCUCUGACGUUAGCGGCGGACGGGUGAGUAACACGUGGAUAACCUACCUAUAAGACUGGGAUAACUUCGGGAAACCGGAGCUAAUACCGGAUAAUAUAUUGAACCGCAUGGUUCAAUAGUGAAAGACGGCUUUGCUGUCACUUAUAGAUGGAUCCGCGCCGCAUUAGCUAGUUGGUAAGGUAACGGCUUACCAAGGCAACGAUGCGUAGCCGACCUGAGAGGGUGAUCGGCCACACUGGAACUGAGACACGGUCCAGACUCCUACGGGAGGCAGCAGUAGGGAAUCUUCCGCAAUGGGCGAAAGCCUGACGGAGCAACGCCGCGUGAGUGAUGAAGGUCUUCGGAUCGUAAAACUCUGUUAUUAGGGAAGAACAAAUGUGUAAGUAACUAUGCACGUCUUGACGGUACCUAAUCAGAAAGCCACGGCCAACUACGUG
RNAcentral lists this ribosomal RNA (497 nucleotides) under uncultured bacterium. RNAcentral describes it as "partial 16S ribosomal RNA". It matches the Rfam family "Bacterial small subunit ribosomal RNA", at positions 28 to 507 of the family's 1533-position model. The record is from RNAcentral.